This 207-nucleotide ribosomal RNA is filed under the name uncultured bacterium. RNAcentral describes it as "partial 16S ribosomal RNA". It matches the Rfam family "Bacterial small subunit ribosomal RNA", at positions 568 to 774 of the family's 1533-position model. The record is from RNAcentral.
UGCGUAGGCGGCGCUGUAAGUCAGAAGUGAAAGCCCUCGGCUCAACCGAGGAAUUGCUUUUGAAACUACAGUGCUUGAGUCUCGGAGAGGUUGGCGGAAUUCCAGGUGUAGGAGUGAAAUCCGUAGAUAUCUGGAGGAACACCAGUGGCGAAGGCGGCCAACUGGACGAGUACUGACGCUGAGGUACGAAAGCGUGGGGAGCAAACA